UUCUUCGAGAUAUUUCUACAUGUUUAAUUUCAAGCCUCAGAAUAUCAGAAUAUUCUCUUGCGAUGUGGCAGACAGUUUCUCAGUCUAUCAGAAUCUCCACAAAGUGGAACAUGAUGUUCUGAUUGGCUGGAAAACGUCAGCAGUUUAUAUGUGCCUAUUGUAUUAUUCUGUAUUCCAAUUUCAACUAUAGCGAUUUGAUUUUAAUGUUGUGUAUGGUUGCGAUGUACAUAUAUGCCAAAGCAUUUGAAGAAAUGUAUUGAUAACCAUCUAAAGAAUAUUUUAUCUUAAAGGUGGUCUGUUUUGCCUUAACACCGCGCGGAAAUGAUAUCGAAUUGGAGAACGAUGUUGCUGAAUUCAGAAAAAAUAAAACGGUGAAUGUGAGAAUAAGGGUAUGAUAUUGGGAUUGAAAUUGAUCGGCGAAAAGUAUUCGUUUUGGAACAUGAUGAUACUACACAUCUAAAGAGCAGCUAGCAGCUGAACUAAGAGAAGCAGUCAAAGUUAAAUAUUCCGAGAGUUUCAUAUCAUUGUGACAUGACUGUUUUUGAUGCGGUGGAAUAAAACCUAUUUUCUGAGGCUGUGAAUUCAUAAGGAAAUGCUACCUACGUCUUGGAUUAUCUGACGUAGAAUGAUGAUACCAAAAUAUGAUGAACUUCUCGCUGGAAAUGUAUAAAUAUUCAGAACCUCACGUUGUAAGGUAUUGAUCCCUGGGAGUACCUCUUUUCGAUUCAAAUCUAAACGCCGUCAUUAAAAACUCAUGCCAGUGUUCGAAGAAGAUCUAUUUGAAGAUUGUUAUCCACGCCUACACCUACAGUGACAGAGACACCAACACGAGGAUCCUGAAAUUCUCAGUAUUGGAUAAAACACGUGAAUAUUUAUUUUAUAACAUGUGAAGAUAAUGCGAUAUGCAAUCAUAACUAGAUUCGAAUGUAAUGAAAAUGAUUGAAACCUACGUAAUACUCGUAAAAAAAAAACGAUCUAUAGAAUGCCUUUUGGCUUUUGUGACCUCCUAUUCAUCACUACUUGGAUUUCCAGUUCGACAAUGAACGAUCGAAACAACAAAUGGAUUCCUCAGUGAGGCAAAUGAUAAAGAAUUAAAUCGAAGAGGAAAACUACGAAAUGUUUCACAGAAUGCAUAAAGCAGAUUCGAAAACAUCGACUUUGAUCUAGACCAGAGCUGAACCUCAAUCAUUUUUGGAUUUCUUUCAAACCUAUACAGUUGAGAGAUCUAUAAUUUUCAAUUAUUGAUGCCAUGCUGGAUGGAUUAAAUCAUGAAAAUUCGUAUAACAUAGCUUUAAAGGCAUACUUAUAAUUUUCUGGAUAUUAUACGGUUCAAAAAAUCUAUAGAUAAUCAACGUUUUAUUCAUAAUAUGUGAUAUUUUUGCCUUUUUCUCCUAAAAUUCAUCCCUUAAGCAUUCAAAACGACCUACUUUUUGCUUGAACGCUUGAAUUCUUGAUUAAUAAUGGUGUUUUACUUGUUGUUUUGUAUGGAAGAAGAUCACAACUUACCUUCUGCAAUUUUUUUUUGCAGUUAUGAAAGAAAAGAAAACUGCAAAAAUGCUUAGAUUUAUUACUCUGUAUGAUUCGGUUUACAUAUCGUUGAUUCUUUUCCUCCCUUAACUAUCAUUUUGUCGCUUGAACAGAGGCUUGUUUUGUCGGUAUCUUUGCCCAUUUGGUAAAAAUACUCACAAAACAUGCUUUUUAGCCUACUUACGAGAAAAAUUACGAGUUUUAAUAUCUAGUCCAAUAGUAGAGAUUUUUCUCUUAUAUAUUUUUCAUGCUCAUUAACCAAAUAAAGCAUCAUUAUUUUAAUUUGUAUUGUGUUGAAAUAUACUCAUUUAUCAUGCGUGUACUAUUAGUAUUAUUUAUCGGCAUUUUAAGAACCUAUUUUAUCUUUCAACUCUGAAAAAUUGAAGGGUGAUUGCGUAACAAUUUGUAGUCGAUACCUACCAAAUAAAUACUCACACAUGUAUAAAAAUAGCUCAUUUCAUAUAAACCGUUGUUAUAGAAGGUAAAAUUAUCAGUCGAAUAAUUAAAUUUUCCUAAUUUUUGUUAUCAAGAAACAAAAGACCAGAGGUAAUUAUAAUUCAACUGCAGGCCUAACUAAGUACAUAGAUAUAACUCUUUUUAUAAUCAUGGAGGGUAUUUCAAGAUGCUAAAAAUUUGUAUUGUAAUCUAAUCUUUCAAAAUGUGUGAAAAGUUGUGCUCGGUGAAUGUGCAAAGAUACAUUUUUUUUUUAUUAAAUAAAAAUUUAUGCUGUAGGUAGGUAUUCUGUAAAAAAAAAGUAUAUAUUAC
This is a long non-coding RNA of Planococcus citri (citrus mealybug), 2292 nucleotides long. RefSeq lists it as uncharacterized. Lineage: Eukaryota; Metazoa; Arthropoda; Insecta; Hemiptera; Pseudococcidae. The transcript has 3 exons. The record is from RefSeq and is a predicted model, not a curated record.